GACGAACGCUGGCGGCGUGCUUAACACAUGCAAGUCGAGCGGAAAGGCCCUUUCGGGGGUACUCGAGCGGCGAACGGGUGAGUAACACGUGAGUAAUCUGCCCUUGGCUUUGGGAUAACUACCGGAAACGGUGGCUAAUACCGGAUACGACGCACUCAGGCAUCUGAUGUGUGUGGAAAGUUUUUUCGGCCAGGGAUGUGCUCGCGGCCUAUCAGCUUGUUGGUGGGGUAAUGGCCUACCAAGGCUUCGACGGGUAGCCGGCCUGAGAGGGUGACCGGCCACACUGGGACUGAGACACGGCCCAGACUCCUACGGGAGGCAGCAGUGGGGAAUAUUGGACAAUGGGCGGAAGCCUGAUCCAGCAACGCCGCGUGAGGGAUGACGG
Molecule: ribosomal RNA, 385 nt
Filed under: uncultured bacterium
Lineage: Bacteria
Description: bacterial SSU rRNA
Rfam family: Bacterial small subunit ribosomal RNA
Source: RNAcentral